This is a long non-coding RNA of Zalophus californianus (California sea lion), 496 nucleotides long. RefSeq lists it as uncharacterized. Lineage: Eukaryota; Metazoa; Chordata; Mammalia; Carnivora; Otariidae. The transcript is spliced from 3 exons. The record is from RefSeq and is a predicted model, not a curated record.
CCAGCCACCGCUGGGAGGCGGCCCAGAAAUGGUCCCAUUUUACAGAGCCGGCAUCCGGACGGAGCUCAGAAAGGUGCCCACGGUCACGUCUGGGAACAGUCCGAGAACAAGAAGAGCUACAGCUCUGCAGGGACACGAGAGAAGAACAUUUGUUGACCAUUGGCAACCCCCCAUUUCUUUGCCUGUCGUCUAGGAACUGCCAGCCUGUUUUCCAAGGUGGCUGCACCAUUCUGCAUUCCUGUCGGCCAUGUAUGGAGGUUCCAAUUUCUCCACAUUCCUGCAACACUUGUUAUUGUCUUUUUUAUUUUAGCCAACCUGAUGUGUGUGAAGUGGUACCUCAUUGUGGUUUUGACUUGUAUUUCCCUAAUGACUCAUCAUACAAGUAUCUUUUCCUGUGCUUAUUGGCUAUUUGUAUAUCCUCCUUGAAGAAAAGUCUAUUAAAAUCCUUUGCUCAUCUUUAAAUUGGGUUAUUUAUAUUUUUAUUGUUAAUUUAUAA